AUUGAACGCUGGCGGCAGGCCUAACACAUGCAAGUCGAACGAGUGGCGGACGGGUGAGUAAUGUCUGGGAAACUGCCUGAUGGAGGGGGAUAACUACUGGAAACGGUAGCUAAUACCGCAUACCAUCGGAUGUGCCCAGAUGGGAGUAGCUUGUAGGUGAGGUAACGGCUCACCUAGGCGACGAUCCCUAGCUGGUCUGAGAGGAUGACCCGCCACAUUGGAACUGAGACACGGUCCAGACGCCUACGGGAGGCAGCAGUGGGGAAUAUUGCACAAUGGGCGCAAGCCUGAUGCAGCCAUGCCGCGUGUAUGAAGAAGGCCUUCGGGUUGUAAAGUACUUUCAGCGGGGAGGCGUUACCCGCAGAAGAAGCACCGGCUAACUCCGUGCCAGCAGCCGCGGUAAUUC
This 406-nucleotide ribosomal RNA is filed under the name uncultured bacterium. Its description in RNAcentral is "partial 16S ribosomal RNA". It matches the Rfam family "Bacterial small subunit ribosomal RNA", at positions 30 to 526 of the family's 1533-position model. The record is from RNAcentral.